CUUACCUUUAAGAACUUCCAAAGAACUCUUAAAGUUUAAUGUGUGAAGAGGCAUCCGAUUGAUAAGAUAUGUAGCAGAAAGAUCAGCAUCCCCCAAGUAAGAUGAAGGUUCAUUGUCAACAUAAAGCAUCUAGCCACUUCAAGUAAAUGCCUGUUUUUCCUUUUAGACACUCCAUUUUAUGCACUGGUAUUCACACAACUAGUUUGAUGU
RNAcentral lists this unclassified non-coding RNA (210 nucleotides) under Hevea brasiliensis (rubber tree). The record is from RNAcentral. Lineage: Eukaryota; Viridiplantae; Streptophyta; Magnoliopsida; Malpighiales; Euphorbiaceae.